Long non-coding RNA from Homo sapiens (human), 2532 nucleotides. Ensembl annotates it as C2orf74 divergent transcript. Its record names the gene C2orf74-DT. The record is from Ensembl. Lineage: Eukaryota; Metazoa; Chordata; Mammalia; Primates; Hominidae.
AGACCUGAAGGCUGCUUCCGCUAACCCGGGCUGGCGCUGCUAACCUCACCCAACGAUCCCUGCUGUCGGAAAAUGUCCAGAGGCACCAUCCCUGCUAUGAAGAGGGAAUGCCAGUACAACAGCCACAAGGGGUCUUCCUGUGGCCCUCAAACAAAAAAUCACUGCAUUACAUCAGCAGACUGCAUUGGAGAGAAAGGCGCCGGGACAGAAAAGCCUGAGAUAAACCACCUGUCAUUCUUGGAGAAAAGGAUGCUGCGGCUUUCCCGAUUUGGUUGAUGAGAUGGAAAAUCAACCCUUACAGGAAGGACAUCACCAAUUCCGGAAAGGAUGCUGCGCCAGUCAUGUUUCCGCACUCUGUGAGACGUUGAAAUCUCCAGAAGUUGCCCAAGGUUUUCAAGCUGAACACAGGAGAAAUGACUCUGGAUCUCUGAGGACUGUUUUCCUCAAUAAGGAGCUGCAAUCUUGGCUCCACCACCCUCCCUCCAAAACAUCUCGUGUGUCUGGUAUCUGGUUAUAUUGUGGCCUGACAGAGAAGUUUCUUUCGGGGCCAGUGAAUUAAAAAAAAAAAAAAAAAGAAAAGCGGGUCCUACCAACUCAUUAAUACUUUAAUACUUUAAAUUUCCCUCUUUAUAGUAGGUUGAAAUGUCAGUAUCUCUUAAGAACAAUGGCUGAACCAAAUGUUUCCUCAAAACUCACAUUUUUUCCCACCAUUUCAGAAGCUGCCUCAGGACUAAGCUUUGAUUUUUUUUUUUUUUUUUAAUCUGGCCCAAAUUCCUAUCUAAGGGGCCUGGGGAGUCAUGCCCAACAAACCAUAAAUUCUCAUCAGAUGAGUUUUAUUUAACCCUAUAUAUGGUGACUUGCUUUCCAGUCUGACUCUGGCAUGACAUGUGACAAAGAAGAAAGUCAAAAUAUUUUACCCCAAAACAUGUUUCUUUGCCAUAUUUUGAAAUGGUCCUGCAAAGCUGUGCUUUGUGGGGGAAAAUAUGCAUCUGUAAAGAAUCUCUAUUAACACAGCUAGAUCUUUUUCUUCCAGGCCCUCCCAAUCCUGAAGAGACUGAGAGUCUAGCAUUGUUUUAAAGGUCUGAAUAGGAAACAUUUGUCAUCUAUCAUCUCUAAGGGUAGCCAUUAUAAGACUUCAAAAGAACCUUUUGAAGUAUUAUAAUCUUUUAUCUUAACCUGAACAUGUGCUUCCUAUUGAUCCCAGGUCUUCAGACAAUUGUGAACUCAACCAUUUGUCAAUUAGAAAAUGUUUAAAUUGGCUGGGCACAGUGUCUCAUGCCUCUAAUCCCAGCACUUUGGAAGACCAAGGCGGGCAGAUUGCCUGACCUCAGGAGUUCGAGACCAGCCUGGGCAACAUGGUGAAACCCCGUCUCUACUAAAAUACAAAAAUUUAGCCGGGCGUAGUGGCAUGCACCUGUAGUCCCAGCUACUUGGGAAGCUGAGGAAGGAGAAUUGCUUGAACCCGGCGGGCAGAGGUUGCAGUAAGCAGAGAUCGUGCCACUGCACUCCAGCUUGGGCAACAAAGUGAGACUCCAUCACAGAAAAAAAAAAGAAAAUGUUUACCUUUACCUAUAGCCUGGAAAUCCCUGCUUUGAGUUGCUCCAUCUUUCUGAACCAAACCAAUGUUAUUUCUUAAACGUAUUUCAUUGAUGUCUCAUGCCUCCCUAAAAUGUAUAAAACCAAGCUGUGCCCCGAACACCUUGGGCACAUGUUCUCAGGACCUCCUGAGGGCCGUGUCACGGGUCAUAAUCACUCAUAUUUGGCUCAGAAUAAAUCUCUUCAAACAUUUUACAGAGUUGACUCUUAGUCAACAUGUCCAUACCUGAUGAGAUGCUUCAUCAAAAUUCUAGUGGACUGGCUAGUUCAGAAAAUGGACCAGCCAGGUUUGCUUAAAUGCACCCCUGCACAACUAUCUCACUCCUGCUUGGAGCCGGCUAGAUCAGGAGACCUGUCCCUAAACUAAUGUACUCCAUGUCUUAAGUCUUUUUGUUUUGUUUUGUUUUUGUUUUUGACAGAGUCUCAGUCUGUCACCCAGGCUGGAGUGCAGUGGCGUGAUCUUGGCUCGCUGCAACCUCCGCCUCCCAGGUUCAAGAGAUUCUCCUGUCUCAGCCUCCCAAGUAGCUGGGACAACAGGUGUGCACCACCAUGCCCUGCUAAUUUUUGUGUUUUAAGUAGAGAUGGGGUCUCACCCUGUUGGCCAGGCUGGUCUCAAAUUCCUGACCUCAGGUGAUCCACCCACCUCGGCCUCCCAAAGUGCUGUAAUUACAGGCAUGAGCCACCGCACCCAGCCCAUGUGUCUUGGUCUUUUUUACUAAUAUUGAUUAUAAAAUGGAUGAAACUUUGGAUAAAAUUUCUGCGUUAGAAUUUCUUUUUAUAUCUGUCCUAAAGCUUGUAACUACUUGCUCAUGAUUUUUUGUGUAUGUUUAGCAAUGUGCAUGUCAUUGAUGGCCUUUGUAAAGUAUGUUCAAUUGAGUUGUGGAGACAGAGGUGCAAUUGGAGUAGGUUGUAAGAAUAAAAAGGAGUAGGCAAAAA